RNAcentral lists this unclassified non-coding RNA (717 nucleotides) under Mangifera indica (mango). RNAcentral's name for it is "partial contains ITS1, 5.8S rRNA and ITS2". The stretch from base 294 to 449 matches the Rfam family "5.8S ribosomal RNA". Lineage: Eukaryota; Viridiplantae; Streptophyta; Magnoliopsida; Sapindales; Anacardiaceae. The record is from RNAcentral.
AGGUGAACCUGCGGAAGGAUCAUUGUCGAUACCUGCCGAGCAGAACGACCCGUGAACUUGUUGUUAACGCCGGGGACGCGCGGGCCUUGUGCUUGCGCGCCCUCGCUCGCGUCGCGUUGGGCUUUCGUUGCGCGUGCACCCCUGCGUGUGCGUGCCCGUUCGCCCCUCGCGGUGCCUUAACCAACCCCGGCGCGAAUUGCGCCAAGGACUUGUUAACGAGAGGGCUCGCUCCCGUCGCCCCCGGACACGGUGCGUGCGUGCGGGACGCGACGCCUCCUUUCAUUAUCUAUAACGACUCUCGGCAACGGAUAUCUCGGCUCUCGCAUCGAUGAAGAACGUAGCGAAAUGCGAUACUUGGUGUGAAUUGCAGAAUCCCGUGAACCAUCGAGUCUUUGAACGCAAGUUGCGCCCCAAGCCCUUUAGGGCCGGGCACGUCUGCCUGGGUGUCACGCAUCGUUGCCCCCCCUCCCAAAGAUCUAACGAUUCUUUCGGCGUGGGUGGGCGGAAAUUGGCCUCCCGUGCGCUCGCCCGUGCGGUUGGCCCAAAUCUGAGUUCUCGGUGACGCUUUCCCGCGACAGUCGGUGGCGUUUGAAAAACAACCUAGUGAUCCUGUCGUGCGGUUGCGUUCUCCCGGCCACGAGCUCUUCGACCCUAGAGACCGGGCAAAAGCCCUCUCGCAUCGCGACCCCAGGUCAGGCGGGAUCACCCGCUGAGUUU